GUAAAUUUAUAUAUAUAUAUAAUUAAAUUGCAAAUUUAAUUU
Molecule: transfer RNA, 42 nt
Filed under: Rhopalomyia pomum
Lineage: Eukaryota; Metazoa; Arthropoda; Insecta; Diptera; Cecidomyiidae
Description: partial tRNA-Cys
Source: RNAcentral